Molecule: long non-coding RNA, 1160 nt
Organism: Choloepus didactylus (southern two-toed sloth)
Lineage: Eukaryota; Metazoa; Chordata; Mammalia; Pilosa; Megalonychidae
Exons: 3
Source: RefSeq, a predicted model, not a curated record
GCGUGAGGGCAGCGUGGGGCGCGACCUUUCUUUUUCCCAUGGAGCCCCGCAGCCUGAUGGUGGGACAGACGCCAGCAGAGAGCGCGCACAGCAGAAGACUUCAGGGCUGAAGGCAAGUGGACAUCAUAGUGGGAGGCCCGGCUCACUUCGGUACAGUCUUCAAAGGGCUUUGGCUUCUCUGCAUUUUCAGUUGCACUGGAAAUUGGGACAGCACUGUCUUUCCUUGUGGAGCCUAGAGGAAUGAUGCAUCACAGCCAAUCUGGAUCCCAGGAAGAGCAAUCCGACCCGCCACCAGCAGCCAAGCGUCUAACGAGAUGAGAACGCCGUCGUCUCCGCAACCUGGUGUACCAGAUGACAACCUUGCACCUAGACCGGGAGCCCAGUCCGGAGAUACCCCCGGAGAGACAAGAAAUCAUGGAGAUUAUGCGCCUAUACAGACGGGCAAAAGCAAGCCCCCUGCACCUCCAUAACCCCCACCCAAGCAUUGCUUCCCUUCUAAUGAUCAUGCUUGCCCUCGCCUCUUCCACCCAGGCCAACUCACUACACCAACCUUUUAACUGGACAGUCCAUAUCAUGGGGGGGAUAGAGAAGGACCUCCUCUAUAAGGUUACAGCCGAGGCUCCUUCGUUUACUGCCAGCAUUUGUGAUUUUGUUCAAUUCACAGGUUUAAACAACAAUAAUUGGUUACGUAAUCAAUGCCAAGGCGGCCUCGUUUCUGGUUACUACAUUUGUCCCUCCACAGGCAAAGGCUGUGCUGACCCCUCGCAUUUUUAUUGCCCCUCUUGGGGGUGUGAAACAAUGGCCUACGGAUGGUCUGAAGCUCCCAAUAGAGAUCAGCACCUCCAAGUGUCAUGGACAGAGCCAAAUUGGCGCAAUAUAACCCUUAAGGUUAAAAACCCCGGCGAGGACAAUUGGUUUAGUGGCCGCACAUAUGGCUUCCACCUCUACAUGGAGGGCUAUGAUUGGGGUGGUCUCUUCUCCAUACAAAAGAGACACCCCACCGCCACCGAUCCGAGCGGCGUUGGCCCCAACAAAGUCCUUAACCCCCUUAAUCCACGGCCCUCCAGCCGCACCUCAGCUGCAAACGGCACAUCGCCAGCCCCACCACCCCAACCUUUUCUGCCCCCCUCUCAUUACUCCUCUCCCCUCCUCGGCCUUAU